UACGAAGGGGGCUAGCGUUGCUCGGAUUUACUGGGCGUAAAGGGCGCGUAGGCGGAUGUUUAAGUCGGGGGUGAAAGCCCGGGGCUCAACCUCGGAAUUGCCUUCGAUACUGGACAUCUUGAGUACGGGAGAGGUGAGUGGAACUCCGAGUGUAGAGGUGAAAUUCGUAGAUAUUCGGAAGAACACCAGUGGCGAAAGCGACUUACUGGACACAUAUUGACGCUGAGGUGCGAAAGCGUGGGGAGCAAACAGG
This 253-nucleotide ribosomal RNA is filed under the name uncultured bacterium. RNAcentral's name for it is "partial 16S ribosomal RNA". It matches the Rfam family "Bacterial small subunit ribosomal RNA", at positions 524 to 776 of the family's 1533-position model. The record is from RNAcentral.